Long non-coding RNA from Cucumis sativus (cucumber), 1244 nucleotides. RefSeq lists it as uncharacterized. NCBI's taxonomy places the organism in Eukaryota, Viridiplantae, Streptophyta, Magnoliopsida, Cucurbitales, Cucurbitaceae. The record is from RefSeq and is a predicted model, not a curated record. The transcript has 4 exons.
UUACGUCAAAUUACAUAUUGAAUGAAAAAGAAAAUUACAAUUUCUUUUAGCGCUAUGUAAUGGUAGUCAGGUAUAGUAGUCAUGCCUUUGCUCUAGCUUAUAUAUUCAUGUCUAUGUUACUUUCACACUUCUAUUUAUUAAUUUCAUGAAGUCAGUGGGUUUGCAAAAUGAAAGAAUCGUCAUCCUUUUUAAACCACUAGUCCUAAUGUUUCAAAUGAAUUUUCCAAUUUCUUUUUGGGCUGAUGUUUCCAUAGCCCGUUUCUUAACAAAUUGCAUGCCCUCUUCCAUUUUUAAGGGUGAGAUACCUUUUUGUAUCUUAUGCCCCAAACAACAUUUGUUUCUCAUUCCACCCAAAAUAAUUGGUUAUACUUGAUUUGUCCAAGACGUUCGGCCUCAACAUACAAAGUUGGAUCCAAAGACCUUAAAAUAUAUCUUUUUGGUUAUUCUCGUGUUCUUUGAACAUUCCUCCUUUUAUUCCUCACCUUCUUUCUCUUCGAAUAUGAGUCGAGGGAGUAUCAAGAGUCAAAGGAUGAUUUCUUUAUCUACAAUGUUAUCUCUCCUUCUAAUCCUCUUUGUGGUUCAUCUUCACGUGUGUUUACUUCUAUUUGUCAACCCAUCACUGAAGUCUAUGAUCGACGACAACCUUCUUCAAUUCCAUGCCCUACCCCUAAGGCUUCUUCGUCAUUGGAUCCAGAAAUGAGUGAUGAUCUUCCUAUUGCUCUUCGUAAAGUUCCAUCAUGCUGUCUAAAGUUUGGACUUGAAGGGUUUGUCCUCAUCUUCCUUCUUCCCCGACGAUUUACGUCAUACAGAUGAGGCUGUGAUGCUGAUAUUAACGUGAUUGUAAAUAUAGAAAGUGUAUACUCCAUACCAAAUUUGCAUUCAAUUAUUACAGCUUCUGAUGGGGCAAUGGUUGUCAGAGGUGAUCUUGGUGCAGAACUUUUUAUUGAAGAGGUUCCUCCUGUAGUUAACUUUUUCAAUAAUAAUAAUAUUAAAAAAGAAGCGAUCCUUUGGGUACCUUAGAUAACUUUUUUAAUUAUCUUAAAUUCAUGUCUUUUUUAAGCUUAUGCAAAAUUGGGAAGUUUUAGUUUCAUGUUUAGAUAUAUAUACAUGUUAGGACGAAUCAUAAUGAAAUUCAGCAUUUGGGUUGUUUGCUUUUGACUAGUCUGAAUGGUGUGGUUUAGCUUGUUUGGCUCAAUCAAAAGAUUAUUAAGAACUUGUUUAAUCAAGCUAAUUUUUUUGUUGUU